This 609-nucleotide long non-coding RNA is filed under the name Equus caballus (horse). RNAcentral's name for it is "lncRNA (ENSECAG00000047563.1)". Lineage: Eukaryota; Metazoa; Chordata; Mammalia; Perissodactyla; Equidae. The record is from RNAcentral.
UCCAGGAGCACGGCGGCCCGCCCGGCUCCGCUCGCGUGGGAGAGGAUGCGCCCCGGGCCGAGGCCCCUCCCCGCGGGGCUGCGGGUUGGAGAAGGCGCUUCCUUAGAGGGGUGUGUUGCGGGAUGGGGGUGUCCUGGCACCGGGCGCCCUUUCCGGCUCCAUGUAGAGCCACACCAUCGCGGCUCUGCACUAGAUUGCGUGCGCAGGAUCUCCUCCCUUCAAGGCAGGUUGAGUCGACAGGGUUCGCUCCCGUCCUGGGAGUCUACUCCUCAUCUUGGACUUCCUUCUUUCUCUGAACACCUACUGUGUACCAGCGUGGCGCUGAGGAAGCAUAUGUGAAGACAGGACAAUGUGUGGAGUGCCUUGGAAGUGUGCGUGACUGUUGCUGCUGACAGCCGAGCGGGGAAAGCCACAUUUUGCUUGGUUUGUGUCAGUAGCAUCAUCUACCAUCCCUGUCAUCUUCCAUGGAAAGUGGAAAGGGGAAGUUAGAUUCCCAAGGAGAAUGUCUGCUCUUGGGCUGAAUGAAAACAGUUUCCUUGUAUGAACGAGGGAAAAACAGUACAGAAUAGGACAGGGUGAAUCGUCCCACAAGACGCCACUGCAUCUACC